GAUGAACGCUGGCGGCGUGCCUAAUACAUGCAAGUCGAGCGAACGGACGAGAAGCUUGCUUCUCUGAUGUUAGCGGCGGACGGGUGAGUAACACGUGGAUAACCUACCUAUAAGACUGGGAUAACUUCGGGAAACCGGAGCUAAUACCGGAUAAUAUUUUGAACCGCAUGGUUCAAAAGUGAAAGACGGUCUUGCUGUCACUUAUAGAUGGAUCCGCGCUGCAUUAGCUAGUUGGUAAGGUAACGGCUUACCAAGGCUACGAUGCAUAGCCGACCUGAGAGGGUGAUCGGCCACACUGGAACUGAGACACGGUCCAGACUCCUACGGGAGGCAGCAGUAGGGAAUCUUCCGCAAUGGGCGAAAGCCUGGCGGAGCAACGCCGCGUGAGUGAUGAAGGUCUUCGGAUCGUAAAGCUCUGUUAUUAGGGAAGAACAGAUGUGUAAGUAGCUGUGGACAGCUUGACGGUACCUAAUCAAAAAGCAACGGCUAACUACGUG
RNAcentral lists this ribosomal RNA (497 nucleotides) under uncultured bacterium. RNAcentral describes it as "partial 16S ribosomal RNA". It matches the Rfam family "Bacterial small subunit ribosomal RNA", at positions 28 to 507 of the family's 1533-position model. The record is from RNAcentral.